Non-coding RNA from Gossypium raimondii (Peruvian cotton), 138 nucleotides. NCBI's taxonomy places the organism in Eukaryota, Viridiplantae, Streptophyta, Magnoliopsida, Malvales, Malvaceae. The record is from Rfam.
UAUUAAAAAUUUCAUCCAUUUCUACUAUUAAAAAUUGAUGUGACUUAACCAUAAAGUUACACGGGGUGUCCCUCCUGUGGCUCAUUCUGAUGUACAUAGACCAAUUUUUAAUAGUAGAGAUGAAUGAAUUUUUUAACA